This is a long non-coding RNA of Dermochelys coriacea (leatherback sea turtle), 2392 nucleotides long. RefSeq lists it as uncharacterized. The transcript is spliced from 3 exons. NCBI's taxonomy places the organism in Eukaryota, Metazoa, Chordata, Testudines, Dermochelyidae. The record is from RefSeq and is a predicted model, not a curated record.
ACUCAGUUCCUGCCUGGGACCAGAAGAGUAAGGAAGGAUACUUCUUGCUAGAGCUCAAGGGAGAACCAGAGGAUGGGUUCUGGUGUCACUGGCAUUCAGCGAGGAAGAAGAGGAAUUGAGAAAUUCAGCUUUGAGGGCAGUUCAUCAUCCAUUGGAGACAUUUUAUUUUCUUGAAACUUGCCCACCCCGCCUUUCACGUCCUACAGCAUUUCCCUUCAAAUGAGUUGUCUCUGCUCAGCUGCUGACCCAAGCUGUGCAAGGACAAUACCUCGUUAUCCAUUUCAUUGAGGAACAACCUUGGUGGAGGCAGGUGACUCGUGAUCAUUUGGCUGACUCAAAACCAGCAAGCUCUGCAGAAAGGCUUACAGGGUGAGAAGCUGCUGUAGAGAAGGACUGUAGUCUGUUAAAAUUAAGUUUUUAGUCUCUAAAAUGGCAAUGGGAACUUAUGAGGUUUCCACAAAACCACCUGUGUGCAGUUUGUUCCCAGUGUUCUCCAAGGAAACAGGACAUGUGUAUGCUUUCUACAUAAACUACCCGAAGAAAAUACUGGACUCCACAUCCUAAACGGGAAACUAAUUCACCAAGCCCCAAAAUAUGAUUUUUACUCAGUACAGGGCACUAUUAUUUAAGUAUUUUCUUUAACGUGCUUUUCCUUAGCUUCCCAGGCUUUUCAUAACAUUUUAAAAUACAUCAGAUCAAAGAAAUACAAAUCCAAAUUGAGAAAGAUGCGGCAACUUAAUCAACCCCUUUAUAUUGAAUCAGCCUUCAAAGUGACUCCCUCCCCCAUCUAUUGCACCCUGGCAGAGGGCCCUGAAUAGUUUUGGGUGCUGAAAAAAAAAAGAACAACAACUACAGACACCCAACCAUUUCCCAACUUCUGAAAAACUAAAUGGGCCUUUCUUAUUAUUUAUAUUUCAGCAACACCUAGAAAAUCCAAAUGAGAUGAAGGCCCAUUGAUCAAGACCCUGUACAUACACUAGUAAGAGAUGUUCCUUGCCAUAAAGAGCUUACAAUUAAGUAGACAAAACAAAAGGUUGGGAGGAUAAAGAAGAGCACAGACAGGUGGAGUGACUUGCCUACAGACAUACCGCAGGCCAGUGACCGAGCCAUGUCUCCUGAGACUCAUGCACCCAGUGCCUAAGCCACUGAACCAAGCUGCCUUGCAGUGUGUCCAGGAAAUCACCAUAUUUCUGGUUUGGACAGGAUGUUGAGCUGGGGGUAGGGGGGGGGAGGUUUGCGUUAUGGACCUAUGUAGCAGAUGCUCUGCUACCAUCAUUCUUUUAAACUGCUGUUAGCUCAGUAGCCUCUGAUUACAACAGUGAAGAUAUUACACAGGAAGAGCUAUGGUCUCUCAUGUAACCAGUUCCAUGUAUAUAUUUUUAACAUAGUUGAAGCUUGCAACUAUGUUGUUUAAUAUUGAGGGUGGAUUUGUUUUUUGUUUCCACAUUGCAUGUUACAGGAAAUGUGUUUGAUAUCCCCAUUUGGUGAGCACAGGUCACAGACUAGCGCGUGUGGGUUAGGUCAAAAAAUGCUGUAAUGGUACAGCAAUGUGACAACAAAGGUCCACUUUGUGCCACUUGUAGGUAGAAAUGGAUCCUGGAGAAUUCCCCCCUAGUCAGGGGACCUCUUUGCUGGUGGAAGCAGGUAAUCUACCUCCUCACAAGCUGCCCUCCUCCUAUCACUGAUCUAUAUGGCAGGAGAGCUGGGGUUGAAAAAAUGACUUGUUCACACACAGCUGAGGCUGGUAUUAGGCUUCUUUGGAAACCUGGCCCCCAAAUAACAAAUCUAUUAAAAGAAAAUAAUUAAAAAUCACCUCUGACUUUCAGUAAUUUCCCUAGAGGCUGCCAGGUUUCCCAUGCAACCGUUCUCUGUUCUGAUUAAGGUGUUAGUAAUGCCAUCAACACCUUGAAAAGGAACACAAAACCCUGAACUUUGUUCUUUGUAUUUCAGGAUAAAAAGUGGAACAAAAACGCCACUUACCAGCUCACCUUUAGCAGAAGGAGUUGGUAUCAUAACUCCCAGUGCAUCAUGCUUAAAACUUAACAACCAAGAGUGAAAUCAAUGUGUCAGCUAAGGGCCUAUAAAAUAUAAACUAUGUGCCGCUAAGAUCAUUCAUGAAACUGCUUUAGCACAUCCUUACAUUGGUGAGAUAGAAAGCCAGUUAUGAUAUUUUUUUAAAAAAAUAAUUAUUUUCUGGCAAAUAAUAAUAAAUAUCCAAUAUAUGAGCCACAAGACAAAAUAAAUGGAUAAUAGCUGAUUUCAGACCUCAAAUCAUAUAGUGUCUAAGAUUAGUAAGUGCAACAGUGCCCUCUACAUCUCGUCAAUUCAAGCACAUCUAACAACGUAUUUAUAAAACUUUGAUGAACUUGGAAUAAAAAUAUUUAUACAGGGU